UACGUAGGGGGCAAGCGUUAUCCGGAUUUACUGGGUGUAAAGGGAGCGUAGGCGGUUCGAUAAGUCUGAUGUGAAAGCCCGGGGCUCAACCCCGGGACUGCAUUGGAAACUGUCAAACUAGAGUGUGGGAGAGGUAAGUGGAAUUCCUAGUGUAGCGGUGAAAUGCGUAGAUAUUAGGAGGAACACCAGUGGCGAAGGCGGCUUACUGGACCAUAACUGACGCUGAGGCUCGAAAGCGUGGGGAGCAAACAGG
Molecule: ribosomal RNA, 253 nt
Filed under: uncultured bacterium
Lineage: Bacteria
Description: partial 16S ribosomal RNA
Rfam family: Bacterial small subunit ribosomal RNA
Source: RNAcentral